Molecule: ribosomal RNA, 406 nt
Filed under: uncultured bacterium
Lineage: Bacteria
Description: partial 16S ribosomal RNA
Rfam family: Bacterial small subunit ribosomal RNA
Source: RNAcentral
AUUGAACGCUGGCGGCAGGCCUAACACAUGCAAGUCGAGCGAGCGGCGGACGGGUGAGGAAUGGCGGGGAACCUGCGGGAUGGAGGGGGAUAAGUACGGGAUACGGUAGCUAAUACCGCAUUCCAUCAGAUGUGCCGAGAUGGGAUUGGCUAGGAGGUGGGUUAACGGCUCACCUAGGCGACGAUCCCUAGCCGGUCUGAGAGGUUGACCAGCCACCCUGGGACGGAGACACGGUCCAGACUCGUACGGGAGGCAGCAGUAGGGAAUAUUGCGCAAUGGGCGCAAGCCUGACGCAGCCAUGCCGCGUGAGUGAAGAAGGCCUUCGGGUUGUAAAGCUCUGUCAGCGGGGAAGCGGUACCCGAAGAAGAAGCAACGGCUAACUACGUGCCAGCAGCCGCGGUAAUAC